RNAcentral lists this ribosomal RNA (191 nucleotides) under uncultured Bacteroidota bacterium. RNAcentral's name for it is "uncultured Bacteroidetes bacterium partial 16S ribosomal RNA". It matches the Rfam family "Bacterial small subunit ribosomal RNA", at positions 338 to 525 of the family's 1533-position model. The record is from RNAcentral. Lineage: Bacteria; Pseudomonadati; Bacteroidota.
CCUACGGGAGGCAGCAGUAAGGAAUAUUGGACAAUGGUCGGAAGACUGAUCCAGCCAUGCCGCGUGAAGGACGAAGGCGCUCAGCGUUGUAAACUUCUUUUGUACGGGAAAAAACCCCCGGUCGUGUACCGGGGUUGAUGGUACCGUAAGAAUAAGCAUCGGCUAACUCCGUGCCAGCAGCCGCGGUAAUA